This 68-nucleotide small RNA is filed under the name Lentibacillus persicus. Its description in RNAcentral is "Bacillaceae-1 RNA". It matches the Rfam family "Bacillaceae-1 RNA". The record is from RNAcentral. Lineage: Bacteria; Bacillati; Bacillota; Bacilli; Caryophanales; Bacillaceae.
ACAAAAGGGAGUUCGGUUAAUUCCGUUCACAUCCUGUGAACAAUACCGGAUAAUCGACAUCGUGUAGG